GAUGAACGCUGGCGGCGUGCCUAAUACGUGCAAGUCGAGCGAACAGACGAGGAGCUUGCUCCUUUGACGUUAGCGGCGGACGGGUGUGUAACACGUAGGUAACCUACCUAUAAGACUGGGAUAACUUCGGGAAACCGGAGCUAAUACCGGAUAAUAUUUCGAACCGCAUGGUUCGAUAGUGAAAGAUGGCUUUGCUAUCACUUAUAGAUGGACCUGCGCCGUAUUAGCUAGUUGGUAAGGUAACGGCUUACCAAGGCAACGAUACGUAGCCGACCUGAGAGGGUGAUCGGCCACACUGGAACUGAGACACGGUCCAGACUCCUACGGGAGGCAGCAGUAGGGAAUCUUCCGCAAUGGGCGAAAGCCUGACGGAGCAACGCCGCGUGAGUGAUGAAGGUCUUCGGAUCGUAAAACUCUGUUAUUAGGGAAGAACAAACGUGUAAGUAACUGUGCACGUCUUGACGGUACCUAAUCAGAAAGCCACGGCUAACUACGUG
This 497-nucleotide ribosomal RNA is filed under the name uncultured bacterium. RNAcentral's name for it is "partial 16S ribosomal RNA". It matches the Rfam family "Bacterial small subunit ribosomal RNA", at positions 28 to 507 of the family's 1533-position model. The record is from RNAcentral.